CCUUAUCAUCAAUGUGUUGACAGAAAAGUCUACAGUUGUGCUUCAACAAGAUCUAGCAGAAACUUCUUUUGAGACGAAUGUGUCGGACACCUUAUCUUCUGUGCCAUCUGAUUCAUCUGAUGCAACAAUAAUUCUUGAGAAAGAUAGUGGGGUGAAAAGGACCCACGCCGAUCGGGAAUCAGCAGAAGCAAUGGUGAGAGAUAUUCUUCAGUCCAAGCCAGGGGGAGAAAAAGUGUUGAUGAAUAUAACAAAACGAAGACACUGACAGAUGGUACACGGC
Molecule: long non-coding RNA, 280 nt
Organism: Sander lucioperca (pikeperch)
Lineage: Eukaryota; Metazoa; Chordata; Actinopteri; Perciformes; Percidae
Exons: 3
Source: RefSeq, a predicted model, not a curated record